AAAAUUGGUGAUGAUAUCAACCGUUGAUCAUGCGGAUUCUACCAGAUUACAAUCCCUAAUUCGGUCUAUGAAUGAACCUCAAUUCCCAGAUUACAUUUCUCUUUUCGUUUUCAGCUUUUGAUUAAUAUCAUUAUCCCACUUUUGAUUCCCGUUAUCACAAAAGCCCUAAAUCAUUAUAUCUUUCACAUAUAGAUUUCAUUGAUCUUUCUCUUUCCUUGAAUAUCUAUUUUCGAAUUGAAUCGAUGAUGGGAGACAAUGCCAGUGAAGAUCAUCAAAGAUCAUUCGCAGCUCCUCUCAUAUUUUUCAUAGUUUUCGCUUUUCAAUUUGCUUCCUAUUGGAUUGAUCACUUCAAGAAGGGUGGAUCUGAGAAGCAAAAAGAAACUCAGUUGCGUGCAGAAAUAAAACAACUUUUGAAGGAGGCAAACUCCAUGUCGCAGCCAUCCACCUUUGCACAAGCUGCAAAACUCAAAAGACAGGCAGCUGCAAAGGAGAGGGAACUUGCAAAGUGUCAAGAUUUACAUGCCAGGGACACAACUUUGUAUUCAAAAGUUCUGUUCAUCUCUAAGGUUUUGACAUAUUUAAUUUUGCUUAUCUGGUUUUGGAGUUCUCCUGUGGCUAGCAUAUCUCAACAACUCGUGCAACCAUUUGGGAGAUUGUUAUCUUGGAGGUCUGGAGGAGUGCAAAAUAACAAUAUUAUGGUUGGCAUAAUACCUUGGCUAGCAGUAACUUCCAGGGUUAGCAAACUUAUUUGUAAACUCACACAUAGCUGGUUGGAUUGGUAGCUGGUUGGACUGGUGUCCUGGAUUUAAAAUGGAAAGAACAGGAAGUUAUUAGCCUCAUCUUAUUCUAGGAGACAAAUUAAUUAUUCGUUAUUUCUUACUUUUUUUCUCACUCCGGUAGUUUCAGAUCCAAUUUCUGACCGAUCUCAGCCUCAAGAAGACACCUUAACUUGUAGAAUUGGUUGAUGAUAGCCGAGUAAUGAGAUGUUUAGCUUUUUUUUUCUUUUAUAUUAAAUCUAUUCCAAAUUGAAUAAUCGAUUAAUCUUGCUUUAUAUUGGAUUCAGGACAUUGAAGAGUUUCUUAAUUUGUCUCAUGAAAAGGUUCUAUUAAAAUGGAUGAAUCUUCAUCUUCAGAGAGAAGUUUUAGGAGAAAACCGGCAAUAAUUUUUUGAAAAUGUGUUUUAUUUUAUAAAAUGAAUGCGUGGUUCACUUACGCAUGUAUUUAGUAUAUUUUGGAAUGCACCGGUUAGAUUAAUUAUUUAAUUAAUCAAACAUAGAUUGACAUAAUUAAUUUAAUAAAUUAUAUUAUGUUC
This is an RNA transcript of Lathyrus oleraceus (garden pea), 1311 nucleotides long. It is a transcript of the gene named protein GET1, with no coding region annotated. The record is from RefSeq and is a predicted model, not a curated record. NCBI's taxonomy places the organism in Eukaryota, Viridiplantae, Streptophyta, Magnoliopsida, Fabales, Fabaceae. The transcript is spliced from 8 exons.